GAUGAACGCUGGCGGCAUGCCUAACACAUGCAAGUCGAACGGAGUUAUUAGACGGAAGCCUUCGGGCGGAAGAUUAAUAGCUUAGUGGCGGACGGGUGAGUAACGCGUGAGUAACCUGCCUCUCAGAGGGGGAUAACGUUCUGAAAAGAACGCUAAUACCGCAUAUAAUCAAGAAACCGCAUGAUUUUUUGAUGAAAGGAGCAAUCCGCUGAGAGAUGGACUCGCGUCUGAUUAGCUAGAUGGUGGGGUAACGGCCUACCAUGGCGACGAUCAGUAGCCGGACUGAGAGGUUGAACGGCCACAUUGGGACUGAGACACGGCCCAGACUCCUACGGGAGGCAGCAGUGGGGGAUAUUGCGCAAUGGGGGAAACCCUGACGCAGCAAUGCCGCGUGAAGGAAGAAGGUUUUCGGAUUGUAAACUUCUUUUGUUAAGGACGAAGAAUGACG
This 448-nucleotide ribosomal RNA is filed under the name uncultured bacterium. RNAcentral describes it as "bacterial SSU rRNA". It matches the Rfam family "Bacterial small subunit ribosomal RNA", at positions 28 to 457 of the family's 1533-position model. The record is from RNAcentral.